This 91-nucleotide transfer RNA is filed under the name Microbacterium aerolatum. Its description in RNAcentral is "tRNA-Pro". The record is from RNAcentral. Lineage: Bacteria; Bacillati; Actinomycetota; Actinomycetes; Micrococcales; Microbacteriaceae.
CAUGCACGUCGACGAGGCGGCAGCCCUCACCGCUCGGAGCGGCGACGUCAAGACCAGCGCGUGGAUGCCGUUCGACUCCGCCGCGCUCGAC